GCGGAACCAUUAUUCCACCAUUGCUGCGACUGCGAGACGUUCUUCCUCCUCCCAUCACCCACCAUGGAAUAGCUCUGUGUAGAAAUCUCGUCCAUUUAUUUAGGAAGCACUGUGUUUAUGUAUUGUUUGAUGCCCGAGGACAUCGAAACAAGAUCUCAGCUCAUCCAAAUCCCCCAUCCAUCAGGGGCCGAGAGGGCAUGGGAUCUGCUCCCUGCUGGGCAUCAAGGGCAAGAGCCACUAUAGUGGGGGAAGGAGAAAGAGGUGGUCGGAUGGACACAGGGGAUCCCCGACUUUUUUGCAUCUCAGCGAUGCGUGUUUUUUUGCUUUCAUGGAUUCAGCUAGCGGCCGAUCUUCAACUAUCGUGUGUAGUUCUAUCCCCUUUUAAAUUCAAUGGAUGUGUUUGGCGGAGAUGUUGGUGGCUCUUUUAUGGAUCUGCUACGUGUUGCAGAUCCCUCAAUUAUCGGGAGGUAAUUUCUUUGAACUUUUCCUUGAAUCCAAUUAAAUACUUUUUUCUUAUUAUCCUCUACCAUUUAAACAUUUCCAGAGUGCAGUGUGAAGAGAACAAUGCUUUGGUUGAUUCAACAGUGCCAAUCGAGCCGGAUGAAAUAAAUUACUCUAACGGUGAACACUUGCCCAGGCUAGUGAAGUAUAACUCUAAGCAAUGCGUGUGGAAUAUUUUGCACUUGAAAUGUUCUAUAAAAUCGACUUAGAUUCUGUUAUUAUAAUAAUAUAUUCUGUUUAUCUGUUCAGUGGGGAUUGUCAAGAGAAAAUAGCAUUGGUAGAUUCACCUGUACCAAUAAAUUCAGAUGAAGAAGAGUACUCAAAUG
Triticum aestivum (bread wheat) is the source of this 827-nucleotide long non-coding RNA. RefSeq lists it as uncharacterized. The record is from RefSeq and is a predicted model, not a curated record. Lineage: Eukaryota; Viridiplantae; Streptophyta; Magnoliopsida; Poales; Poaceae. The transcript is spliced from 3 exons.